AAUGAACGCUGGCGGCAUGCCUAACACAUGCAAGUCGAACGAAACCUCCGGGAGUUGUGGCGCCUGGGGGUGUCACGCGUCGGAACCUUCCCUUAUGUAUGGAAUAACUCUCCGACUGGGGUGCUAACACCGGAUAAUGUCUUCUGACCAAUGAUAUAUCGCCCUAGGUUGGGCGGGCGUUGGAUUAGCUUGUUGGGAGGGUAAAAGCCUACCACGGCGACGAUCAAUAGCUGGGUAGAGAGGAUGAUCAGCCACACUGGGACUGAGACACGGCCCAGACUCCUACGGGAGGCGGCAAAGGGUGAUAUAGGACAAUGGGGGGAGUGCUGAUGCAGCUAGGCCGGGAGAGUGAUGAAGGUCUGAGAGUUGUAAAGCUCUUUUACCCGGGAUGAUAAUGACGGUACCGGGAGAAUAAGCCCCGGCUAACUCCGUG
RNAcentral lists this ribosomal RNA (433 nucleotides) under uncultured bacterium. RNAcentral's name for it is "partial 16S ribosomal RNA". It matches the Rfam family "Bacterial small subunit ribosomal RNA", at positions 29 to 507 of the family's 1533-position model. The record is from RNAcentral.